UUAACUUUUGUAGGAUCAAUUAGACGUACCAAAAUUUAUGGUAGAUUUUCUGAAAUGCAGAUUAAAAUGGAGAAUGGAAAUGGGGAUUUUAAAGAAGAAUAUAAGCUUAGAAAUGACUACAACCAUCCUGGAAGAGCAAAUUUUAUGAAGAAGCCAGCAGAUGUCAAAGGAAAUAAAAAGAAUGGAACAAAGGAAACUUUGAAAAAGAACAGUGAUAUGAAAAUAUUUAAUAAAUGUUUCGCAUUUAUAA
Long non-coding RNA from Mytilus trossulus (common blue mussel), 250 nucleotides. RefSeq lists it as uncharacterized. Lineage: Eukaryota; Metazoa; Mollusca; Bivalvia; Mytilida; Mytilidae. The transcript is spliced from 2 exons. The record is from RefSeq and is a predicted model, not a curated record.